RNAcentral lists this ribosomal RNA (508 nucleotides) under uncultured bacterium. RNAcentral's name for it is "bacterial SSU rRNA". It matches the Rfam family "Bacterial small subunit ribosomal RNA", at positions 29 to 507 of the family's 1533-position model. The record is from RNAcentral.
ACGAACGCUGGCGGCGUGCUUAACACAUGCAGGUCGAACGAGAAGAGAUGAGAAGCUUGCUUCUUAUCAAUUCGAGUGGCAAACGGGUGAGUAACGCGUAAGCAACCUGCCCUUCAGAUGGGGACAACAGCUGGAAACGGCUGCUAAUACCGAAUACGUUCUUUUUGUCGCAUGGCAGAGGGAAGAAAGGGAGGCUCUUCGGAGCUUUCGCUGAAGGAGGGGCUUGCGUCUGAUUAGCUAGUUGGAGGGGUAACGGCCCACCAAGGCGACGAUCAGUAGCCGGUCUGAGAGGAUGAACGGCCACAUUGGGACUGAGACACGGCCCAGACUCCUACGGGAGGCAGCAGUGGGGAAUCUUCCGCAAUGGACGAAAGUCUGACGGAGCAACGCCGCGUGAACGAUGACGGCCUUCGGGUUGUAAAGUUCUGUUAUACGGGACGAAUGGCGUAGCGGUCAAUACCCGUUACGAGUGACGGUACCGUAAGAGAAAGCCACGGCUAACUACGUG